This 402-nucleotide ribosomal RNA is filed under the name uncultured bacterium. RNAcentral describes it as "bacterial SSU rRNA". It matches the Rfam family "Bacterial small subunit ribosomal RNA", at positions 355 to 774 of the family's 1533-position model. The record is from RNAcentral.
UGGGGAAUCUUGCACAAUGGGGGCAACCCUGAUGCAGCGACGCCGCGUGAGCGAUGAAGCCCUUCGGGGCGUAAAGCUCUUUCGACCGGAACGAUAAUGACGGUACCGGGAGAAGAAGCUGCGGCUAACUACGUGCCAGCAGCCGCGGUAAUACGUAGGCAGCAAGCGUUGUUCGGAGUUACUGGGCGUAAAGCGCGUGCAGGCGGUCUCUUAAGUCUGGUGUGAAAGCCCGGGGCUCACCACCGGAAGGGCACUGGAGACUGGGAGGCUAGAGUACCGGAGAGGAAGGUGGAAUUCCUGGUGUAGCGGUGAAAUGCGUAGAUAUCAGGAGGAACACCGGUGGCGAAGGCGGCCUUCUGGACGGCUACUGACGCUGAGACGCGAAAGCGUGGGGAGCAAACA